This 460-nucleotide ribosomal RNA is filed under the name bacterium enrichment culture clone ALO1_GLFRUDD03F0MKC. RNAcentral describes it as "bacterial SSU rRNA". It matches the Rfam family "Bacterial small subunit ribosomal RNA", at positions 9 to 477 of the family's 1533-position model. The record is from RNAcentral.
GAGUUUGAUCUUGGCUCAGAUUGAACGCUGGCGGCAUGCCUUACACAUGCAAGUCGAACGGCAGCACGGGAGCUUGCUCCUGGUGGCGAGUGGCGAACGGGUGAGUAAUGCAUCGGAACGUAUCCUGGAGUGGGGGAUAACGUAGCGAAAGUUACGCUAAUACCGCAUAUUCUGUGAGCAGGAAAGCGGGGGACCUUCGGGCCUCGCGCUCUUGGAGCGGCCGAUGUCGGAUUAGCUAGUUGGUGAGGUAAAGGCUCACCAAGGCGACGAUCCGUAGCAGGUCUGAGAGGAUGAUCUGCCACACUGGAACUGAGACACGGUCCAGACUCCUACGGGAGGCAGCAGUGGGGAAUUUUGGACAAUGGGGGCAACCCUGAUCCAGCCAUGCCGCGUGAGUGAAGAAGGCCUCGGUUGUAAGACGUACUUCGUCGAGGGAAGAAAGUUAGACGACCGGACCGAA